This 475-nucleotide ribosomal RNA is filed under the name uncultured bacterium. Its description in RNAcentral is "bacterial SSU rRNA". It matches the Rfam family "Bacterial small subunit ribosomal RNA", at positions 364 to 832 of the family's 1533-position model. The record is from RNAcentral.
UUCGCAAUGCCCGAAAGGGUGAACGAGCGACGCCGCGUGCGGGAUGAAGGCCUUCGGGUUGUAAACCGCUGUCACGCAUUAAGAAGGGCCCGGCGUUGACAGCGCUGGGCUUUGACAAAGGUGCGGGAGGAAGCCACGGCUAACUCUGUGCCAGCAGCCGCGGUAAGACAGAGGUGGCGACCGUUGUUCGGAAUCACUGGGCAUAAAGCGCGUGUAGGCGGCAUCGUAAGUCGGGUGUGAAAUCCCUCGGCCUAACCGAGGAAUUGCGCCCGAAACUACCUUGCUUGAGGACCAGAGGGGAGCCUGGAAUUCCUGGUGGAGCGGUGAAAUGCGUUGAUAUCAGGAGGAACACCGGCGGCGAAGGCGAGGCUCUGGCUGGUUACUGACGCUGAGACGCGAAAGCUAGGGGAGCAAACGGGAUUAGAUACCCCGGUAGUCCUAGCCGUAAACGAUGGGCACUAAGUAGAGGGGUUUU